Molecule: long non-coding RNA, 180 nt
Organism: Protopterus annectens (West African lungfish)
Lineage: Eukaryota; Metazoa; Chordata; Ceratodontiformes; Protopteridae
Exons: 3
Source: RefSeq, a predicted model, not a curated record
GGUAGAGGUCUGGUAGCGGUGCUGAGUACCUGACAACAGCUGGGUGAUUAAAGUGUUCAGCUCUCCAGGCCUCCUAAGAUGGUUCUGUUUAAUAGUAUACAGGCGCUGCUGUUUCUCCUUGUCGACGUGCUUCUUUUUGUAAAGGCUGAUGAACAUGACCACACGUAUAAACCUAAAGAA